CAAGACGGCGGCUUCUUCCUCGAGACGCUUCCUCGUGCUCGCACCCAAGGCCCGCGGCGGCGGCGGGCAGCGUCGCACGCAGCGCUGGUCCGUGAAGACUCGGCUCCUGUAGGGCGGCGGAAGUCGCUGGGGCGCCGGAACUGGGUGUGUGGGAAGGCAGGACGCUGGUCCAAAGGUCAGUGCCCAGGACCAAGUGGCGGCGAGCAGGCGUUGGUAGUUGGGUUCUCGACUGGGGCUGUGGGGAAGGCCUGAAAUUUUUAACAAUUAGAAACUUCUCUAGCCUUAAGAACUGAGAUAUGGAGGACGAAGAAAACAUUGAGGAUGAACUGUUUUUUGUGGACUCACAACUCCAGGACAUUCAAGGACAAAUUAAAACAUUACUUGAUCGCCAAGAGGAGUUGUAUGAGUGACAGUCACAGUUAAAGGCUUUGCUGGAAGUAUCUAAGAAAUCCAGAAACAAAUCAAAUUAUGAAUCUUCAGUUACUCUGGAAGAUUGGUCUGGGAGCUUCCCAUGGGAUUCUCAGGCUGAUGAUACCAGAUUCAAUAUAUUUGGCAUCACCUCCUACCGAUCAAAUCAACGAGAAAUAAUUAACGCAGUCAUGAGUCAAAAGGAUGUUCUGGUCAUAAUGGCUGCUGGUGGAGGGAAGAGCCUGUGUUACCAACUCCCAGCUGUAUUUCAUAAUGGAAUUGCAUUGGUUGUCAGCCCAAUACUUUCUCUUAUCCAGGACCAGGUCAUGGGACUGGCAGAUUUAGGUAUAGCAGCUUACAUGCUGACUUCAACUACCAACAAGGAAGUUGAGAAGUUCAUCUAUAGGGCACUUGAUAAAGGUGAAGGAGAAUUGAAGAUAUUAUAUGUGACACCAGAAAAGAUAUCGAAAAGUAAAAGGUUCAUGCCUAAGCUUGAGAAAUGCCAUCUUGCUGGACGUCUUUCUCUCGUUGCAGUAGAUGUGAGUGAUGAUAAUACUUGUUUCUAUUUGUGCCUAAUCCCCAAAAUUGUUACAGUACACUAAUAUCGUUUCUCUCAAUAAAUGCUCUUUCUGUUGUUCUUAUGCAAGUUAUAAAUUCCUUUGUGUCAUUGAUCUAUGCAAGUUUGAGUAUUCUCUGCUGGAAAUUAAAUUAAAUUAUAUCUUAAGUUUUGCUUCAUGACAAAGUACCUUCGUGCUAUUUGUUGGAUUAUGUGCUUUUAGUUGCUUACUCUUGGUAUCUCUAAGAAUUACCAGUCAGAAUCUGAAUAUGUCAAUAAUCAUAGGAAGUUACAAGACAACCUUUUUUUCCCCCCAUAAACGUUGAUUUAAGAAACCUCAUCAGGAAAAAUAUAUCUUCUUUGCCCUAUAUUGUUUUGCAGCUUCAUGGAAAUGGAUCCAUUAAAGUCCUCAGUUCUAUUACCACUCAAAAUCAUGAAAGAAUUGCCUGUCCAACUAGAUUCCUAAGAGCAGCUCAUGAGACAACUGAAAUUCAAGGGGAGUAAUAAACACGCCAAAAUGGAGUAGAACUCCAGAAAGGAUGAAAAAUCCUAGAAGUACACAUUUUUAUUUGUUAUAUGAGCAAGAUAAUGGAAUAAAACACUUAUAUGGUAAACAAUCAAAUGUGGGUACAGGGUAAACAAUCAAAGAAAUUUCCAUUCCUUCAACAGGAUAGGAAACGAUUAUAUAUGUGUGCUUCGUGAUUAUGUGAA
Molecule: long non-coding RNA, 1675 nt
Organism: Setaria italica (foxtail millet)
Lineage: Eukaryota; Viridiplantae; Streptophyta; Magnoliopsida; Poales; Poaceae
Exons: 5
Source: RefSeq, a predicted model, not a curated record